GCCUACACAUGCAGUCGAGCGGAACGAGUUAUCUGAACCUUCGGGGAACGAUAACGGCGUCGAGCGGCGGACGGGUGAGUAAUGCCUAGGAAAUUGCCCUGAUGUGGGGGAUAACCAUUGGAAACGAUGGCUAAUACCGCAUGAUGCCUACGGGCCAAAGAGGGGGACCUUCGGGCCUCUCGCGUCAGGAUAUGCCUAGGUGGGAUUAGCUAGUUGGUGAGGUAAGGGCUCACCAAGGCGACGAUCCCUAGCUGGUCUGAGAGGAUGAUCAGCCACACUGGAACUGAGACACGGUCCAGACUCCUACG
Molecule: ribosomal RNA, 308 nt
Filed under: uncultured Vibrio sp.
Lineage: Bacteria; Pseudomonadati; Pseudomonadota; Gammaproteobacteria; Vibrionales; Vibrionaceae
Description: bacterial SSU rRNA
Rfam family: Bacterial small subunit ribosomal RNA
Source: RNAcentral